This 561-nucleotide long non-coding RNA is filed under the name Vigna radiata. RNAcentral's name for it is "long non-coding RNA (VRAD_LNC004288)". The record is from RNAcentral. Lineage: Eukaryota; Viridiplantae; Streptophyta; Magnoliopsida; Fabales; Fabaceae.
UAUCGCGCUCAUUGCUUGAUCAGAAUCUACACAAUUGAGGUGUUUAUGGGUUGACCAAGAUUUCUGUUUGCAUUCCGUGGUGAUUGUUGUGUUACCUGUUGUGACUACAGGGGUUGGAGUCGUGGAGUCUGGUACACUUUAAGGAUUGUUCAAAGUGGGUUGCAGAUUGCAGGAGAGGGGAUAUCUUGCUGCAAGUCUUGUUGUGUGGUUUGCCUAUAUUUUGGUUAGAGGGUUAGAGAGGUGUUUUAUAUUUUUGACGUGGAGGUCUCUAUAAAAGCCUUGUUGUAAAAACCUUGACCAUUAUAGUGCAUUUGCUUCCUGGUAUUGGAAGGACACUGGAUGUAGGCAUUGAGGCCGAACCAGUAUAAAAACCCGCGUUUGAAUUCUUUAUCCCUACUUUUUUACAUUCAGUCCACUUUACAAUUCAUGUAGUCAACUUUGAUUUUCUGCUGCACUUAAUUUUCUAUUACUUGCGAUUCAAGAAAGUUUGUAAAGUUUUGUACUUUAUAUUAAAGAUUGUGAAAAGACUCUGAUUUUGAAAACUCACCAAUUCACCCCCUC